RNAcentral lists this ribosomal RNA (122 nucleotides) under Oscheius sp. MCB. Lineage: Eukaryota; Metazoa; Nematoda; Chromadorea; Rhabditida; Rhabditidae. The record is from RNAcentral.
GCUUACGACCAUACCACGUUGAAACUACGCCAUCCCGUCCGAUCUGGCAAGUCAAGCAACGUUGGGCCCAGUUAGUACUUGGAUCGGAGACGGCUUGGGAAUCCUGGGUGCCGUAAGCUUUU